Molecule: ribosomal RNA, 468 nt
Filed under: uncultured bacterium
Lineage: Bacteria
Description: partial 16S ribosomal RNA
Rfam family: Bacterial small subunit ribosomal RNA
Source: RNAcentral
GACGAACGCUGGCGGCGUGCUUAACACAUGCAAGUCGAACGGAAAGGCCCUGCUUUUGUGGGGUGCUCGAGUGGCGAACGGGUGAGUAACACGUGAGUAACCUGCCCUUGACUUUGGGAUAACUUCAGGAAACUGGGGCUAAUACCGGAUAGGAGCUCCUGCUGCAUGGUGGGGGUUGGAAAGUUUCGGCGGUUGGGGAUGGACUCGCGGCUUAUCAGCUUGUUGGUGGGGUAGUGGCUUACCAAGGCUUUGACGGGUAGCCGGCCUGAGAGGGUGACCGGCCACAUUGGGACUGAGAGACGGCCCAGACUCCUACGGGAGGCAGCAGUGGGGAAUAUUGCACGAUGGGCGGAAGCCUGAUGCAGCAACGCCGCGUGCGGGAUGACGGCCUUCGGGUUGUAAACCGCUUUCGCCUGUGACGAAGCGUGAGUGACGGUAAUGGGUAAAGAAGCACCGGCUAACUACGUG